This 1020-nucleotide long non-coding RNA is filed under the name Papio anubis (olive baboon). RNAcentral's name for it is "lncRNA (ENSPANG00000047385.1)". Lineage: Eukaryota; Metazoa; Chordata; Mammalia; Primates; Cercopithecidae. The record is from RNAcentral.
AAAGUGCAGUGCUAUAGUUGUGAGCCACUGUGCCUUGCCAAGUCACUUUGUGUGAGGUUCUGGGGCUGGGUGUGAUGGUUCACACCUAUCCCAGUACUUUGGGAGGCGAAGCAGACGAGGUCGCGAGGUCAGAGAUCAAGACCAUCCUGGCUAGCAUGGUGGAAGCCCGUCUCUACUAAAAAUACAAACCAAAAUUAGGCGGUGUGGUGGCUGAAUGCCUGAUCCCAGCCGCAGGCUAAGGCAGAAGAAUGGCGUGAACCCGGGAGGCGGAGCUUGCAGUGAGCCAAGAUCACACCACUGCACUCCAGCCUGGGCAACACAGUGAGACUCCAUCUCAAAAAAAAAAAAAAAAAAAAUGAGAUUCUGAUCCCUGUACUUGGAGAAAUUGUUGAGAAUAGAAUCAGGCACUAUCACCAUAAGUUGAGGGAAUGGCUCUUGUGGGGGUGGUCUCUUGAGUUUUUUCUGCCUCAGUGGGGAUGGCAGGAUGACAGAAAAUAGCUCUAAUCAAGGUUGGCCUAAUUUGUUUUGGCCCCUGAGUCCUCCAGGGAAAGACUUGUAGCCUGGAUGUCAGGCUUUUUUUUUGUAGGUCCAGAGCUCACCUUGAGGAAGGGAAUAGUUGGUGAGAGAUCUUCUGUAUGUUUAUGGACAGAAAAAGUUGCGUUCUUUGUUCCCAGGGAAUGUUCCAGAACUUCCAGCAUUAGUCAGAAGGAGCUAUUUCCAUUUUCAGCUCAGAAGCCAUAUUCUCCAAAAUCUGGAACAUGGAGAUUUCACAGCCCUCAUGUUCCGGAUAGUUCACUCAAAGCUUGGGAGUUGGAGAUGAGGCAAUCAACAGAUGCUGACACCAGCAUGGAGGAGAGAUUGCGGCUGAUCUGGAGGUAUGAUUGGGAGAGGUUGAGAAGCCUUUCAAGGGUGUCCCUGAUGUGGGAGGGCACAAGCAAAGGCCCAGGGGCAUGGAACUGCCCAGUAGAUUCCAGAAGAGAACUACCAUUGCAUACAGCGGAGUGUACAAUAACAGGGUAG